RNAcentral lists this ribosomal RNA (243 nucleotides) under uncultured bacterium. RNAcentral describes it as "partial 16S ribosomal RNA". It matches the Rfam family "Bacterial small subunit ribosomal RNA", at positions 524 to 766 of the family's 1533-position model. The record is from RNAcentral.
UACGUAGGGUGCAAGCGUUAAUCGGAAUUACUGGGCGUAAAGCGUGCGCAGGCGGUUUUGUAAGUCUGUCGUGAAAUCCCCGGGCUCAACCUGGGAAUUGCGAUGGAGACUGCAAGGCUUGAAUCUGGCAGAGGGGGGUAGAAUUCCACGUGUAGCAGUGAAAUGCGUAGAUAUGUGGAGGAACACCGAUGGCGAAGGCAGCCCCCUGGGUCAAAGCUGACGCUCAUGCACGAAAGCGUGGGG